GAUGAAGAACGUAGCGAAAUGCGAUACGUAAUGUGAAUUGCAGAAUUCAGUGAAUCAUCGAAUCUUUGAACGCAUAUUGCGCUCUCUGGUAUUCCGGAGAGCAUGCUUGUUUGAGUAUCAGUAAACACCUCAACUUCCAUAUCUUUUUUGAAAUGGGAGUUGGACUUGAGUGAUCCCAACGCUUUUCCUCACCGAAAAGUGGCGGGUUACUUGAAAUGCAGGUGCAGCUGGACUUUUCUCUGAGCUAUAAGCAUAUCUAUUUAGUCUGCCUAAAAAACAGAUUAUUACCUUUGCUGCAGCUAACAUAAAGGAGAUUAGUUCUUGUGCUGACUGAUGCAGGAUUCACAAAGACGGCUUCGGCCGACUUUGUAAACUCGAUCUCAAAUCAAGCAAGACUACCCGCUGAACUUAAGCAUAUCAAUAAGCGGAGGA
Molecule: unclassified non-coding RNA, 432 nt
Filed under: soil metagenome
Description: partial contains 5.8S ribosomal RNA, internal transcribed spacer 2, and large subunit ribosomal RNA
Rfam family: 5.8S ribosomal RNA (bases 1-120)
Source: RNAcentral